Molecule: small nuclear RNA, 121 nt
Organism: Heterocephalus glaber (naked mole-rat)
Lineage: Eukaryota; Metazoa; Chordata; Mammalia; Rodentia; Bathyergidae
Gene: U4
Rfam family: U4 spliceosomal RNA
About the family: U4 small nuclear RNA (U4 snRNA) is a component of the major U2-dependent spliceosome. The structure of U4 snRNA from yeast and human has been reported.
Source: Ensembl
AGCUUUUCGCAGUGGCAGUAUCAUGGCCAAUGAGGUUUAUCCGAGGCCCGAUUAUUGCUAAUUGAAAACAUAUGAAGAAACUGAGGCUUAAAAAGGAAUUUAAGAAAUUUGCCUCAGGUUA